AAGUCGAACGGAGUUAUUUUGGCAGAAGCCUUCGGGUGGACGCUGAUAUAACUUAGUGGCGAACGGGUGAGUAACACGUGAGCAACCUGCCCUUCAGAGGGGGACAACAGUUGGAAACGACUGCUAAUACCGCAUAAGACCACGGUGUGGCAUCACACAGAGGUCAAAGGAGAAAUCCGCUGAAGGAUGGGCUCGCGUCCAAUUAGCUAGAUGGUGAGGUAACGGCCCACCAUGGCGACGAUUGGUAGCCGGACUGAGAGGUUGAUCGGCCACAUUGGGACUGAGACACGGCCCAGACUCCUACGGGAGGCAGCAGCGGGGAAUAUUGCACAAUGGAGGAAACUCUGAUGCAGCGACGCCGCGUGAGGGAAGAAGGUCUUCGGAUUGUAAACCUCUGUUGUCAGGGACGAUAAUGACGGUACCUGACGAGGAAGCCACGGCUAACUACGUGCCAGCAGCCGCGGUAAAACGUAGGUGGCAAGCGUUGUCCGGAAUUACUGGGUGUAAAGGGAGCGCAGGCGGGAGAGCAAGUUGGAAGUGAAAUCUGUGGGCUCAACUCACAAAUUGCUUUCAAAACUGUUUUUCUUGAGUGGUGUAGAGGUAGGCGGAAUUCCCGGUGUAGCGGUGGAAUGCGUAGAUAUCGGGAGGAACACCAGUGGCGAAGGCGGCCUACUGGGCACUAACUGACGCUGAGGCUCGAAAGCAUGGGUAGCAAACAGGAUUAGAUACCCUGGUAGUCCAUGCCGUAAACGAUGAUUACUAGGUGUGGGAGGAUUGACCCCUUCCGUGCCGCAGUUAACACAAUAAGUAAUCCACCUGGGG
Molecule: ribosomal RNA, 822 nt
Filed under: uncultured bacterium
Lineage: Bacteria
Description: bacterial SSU rRNA
Rfam family: Bacterial small subunit ribosomal RNA
Source: RNAcentral